This 1517-nucleotide ribosomal RNA is filed under the name metagenome. RNAcentral describes it as "bacterial SSU rRNA". It matches the Rfam family "Bacterial small subunit ribosomal RNA". The record is from RNAcentral.
GGGUUUGAUCCUGGCUCAGAACGAACGCUAGCGGCGCGUCUGAUUCAUGCAAGUCGAGCGAGGAUUCCCCGCAAGGGGAGUUCGAGCGGCGGACUGCCGAGUAAGACACAGGCAACUUGCCCCUUAGACCGGGACAACCCACCGAAAGGUGGGCUAAUACUGGAUAUUAUGGCCUUUCGCAUGGGAGGUCAUGAAAGGUUGGAGCCCGCAAGGGUCUUCCACUGAGGGAUGGGCCUGUGGCCUAUCAGCUAGUUGGUGAGGUAACGGCCCACCAAGGCGAUGACGGGUAGCCGACCUGAGAGGGUGAUCGGCCGGACUGGGACUGAGACACGGCCCAGACUCCUACGGGAGGCAGCAGAGGAGAAUCAUGCGCAAUGGGCGAAAGCCUGACGCUGCGACGCCGCGUGAGGGAUGAAGGCCUUCGGGUCGUAAACCUCUGUCGGAGACUAGGAACGGGCCGGGGGUAAAUAGCCCCUGGCCGUGACCAGUCUCGAAGGAAGGGACGGCUAACUUCGUGCCAGCAGCAGCGGUAAUACGGGGGUCCCGAGCGUUGUUCGGAAUUACUGGGCGUAAAGGGCGUCUAGGCGGAUUCGUAAGUCGGGUGUGAAAUCCCCCGGCCCAACCGGGGAAUUGUGCCCGAGACUGCGAGUCUAGAGUGUGGCAGAGGAGAUUGGAACUCCUGGUGGAGCGGUGAAAUGCGUAGAUAUCAGGAGGAACGCCGGAGGCGAAAGCGAUUCUCUGGGCCAUUACUGACGCUAAAGCGCGAAAGCUAGGGGAGCAAACAGGAUUAGAUACCCCGGUAGUCCUAGCCGUAAACGAUGAACACUAGGUAUGGGAGGUUCCGAUGCCUUCCGUGCCGUAGCUAACGCGUUAAGUGUUCCGCCUGGGGAGUACGGUCGCAAGACUAAAACUCAAAGGAAUUGACGGGGGCUCGCACAAGCGGUGGAGCAUGUGGCUCAAUUCGAGGCAACGCGAAGAACCUUAUCCUGGGCUUGACAUGCGGGUGGUACAACCCUGAAAGGGGAAGGACUUUCUCACGAAAGAGCCCACACAGGUGCUGCAUGGCUGUCGUCAGCUCGUGUCGUGAGAUGUCGGGUUAAGUCCUCCAACGAGCGAAACCCUUGUCCUUAGUUGCCAACGGGUCAUGCCGGGAACUCUAAGGAGACUGCCGUUGUAAAACGGAGGAAGGUGGGGAUGACGUCAAGUCAUCAUGGCCCUUAUGCCCAGGGCUGCACACGUGCUACAAUGGCCGGUACAAAGGGACGCAAGACCGCAAGGUGGAGCAAAUCCCAAAAAGCCGGUCCCAGUUCGGAUUGGAGGCUGCAACCCGCCUCCAUGAAGCCGGAAUCGCUAGUAAUCGCGGAUCAGCUACGCCGCGGUGAAUAUGUUCCCGAGCCUUGUACACACCGCCCGUCAAGCCAUGGGAGCUGGGGGUACCCGAAGUCGUCUAUUCAACCCGCAAGGGAGAAAGGCGCCUAAGGUAAACCUGGUGACUGGGACUAAGUCGUAACAAGGUA